RNAcentral lists this ribosomal RNA (497 nucleotides) under uncultured bacterium. RNAcentral describes it as "partial 16S ribosomal RNA". It matches the Rfam family "Bacterial small subunit ribosomal RNA", at positions 28 to 507 of the family's 1533-position model. The record is from RNAcentral.
GAUGAACGCUGGCGGCGUGCCUAAUACAUGCAAGUCGAGCGAACGGACGAGAAGCUUGCUUCUCUGAUGUUAGCGGCGGACGGGUGAGUAACACGUGGAUAACCUACCUAUAAGACUGGGAUAACUUCGGGAAACCGGAGCUAAUACCGGAUGAUAUUUUGAACCGCAUGGUUCAAAAGUGGAAGACGGUCUUGCUGUCACUUAUAGAUGGAUCCGCGCUGCAUUAGCUAGUUGGUAAGGUAACGGCUUACCAAGGCAACGAUGCAUAGCCGACCCGAGAGGGUGAUCGGCCACACUGGAACUGAGACACGGUCCAGACUCCUACGGGAGGCAGCAGUAGGGAAUCUUCCGCAAUGGGCGAAAGCCUGACGGAGCAACGCCGCGUGAGUGAUGAAGGUCUUCGGAUCGUAAAACUCUGUUAUUAGGGAAGAACAUAUGUGUAAGUAACUGUGCACAUCUUGACGGUACCUAAUCAGAAAGCCACGGCUAACUACGUG